AUUGAACGCUGGCGGCAUGCUUUACACAUGCAAGUCGAGCGGCAGCGCGGGACUCAGGCAACUGAGCCCUGGCGGCGAGCGGCGAACGGGUGAGGAAUACAUCGGAACGUACCCCGGAGUGGGGGAUAACGCCGCGAAAGCGGCGCUAAUACCGCAUAUGCUCUGUGGAGGAAAGUGGGGGACCCGCAAGGGCCUCACGCUCUGGGCGCGGCCGAUGUCCGAUAGCUAGUUGGUGAGGUAAUGGCUCACCAAGGCGACGAUCGGUAGCUGGUCUGAGAGGAUGAUCAGCCACACUGGGACUGAGACACGGCCCA
Molecule: ribosomal RNA, 314 nt
Filed under: uncultured bacterium
Lineage: Bacteria
Description: bacterial SSU rRNA
Rfam family: Bacterial small subunit ribosomal RNA
Source: RNAcentral